CUACGGGUGGCUGCAGUGAGGAAUUUUGGUCAAUGGGGGAAACCCUGAACCAGCGACGCCGCGUGUACGAUGAAGGAGCUUUGCUCUGUAAAGUACUGUCAGAGGGGAAGAAAAGCCUGGUUGCCGGGCUGGGACUGUACCCUCAGAGGAAGGACCGGCUAACUACGUGCCAGCAGCCGCGGUAAUACGUAGGGUCCAAGCGUUAUCCGGAAUCACUGGGUGUAAAGGGUGCGUAGGCGGGCUUGUGCGUCAAGGGUUAAAUACCCAGGCUUAACCUGGGAAAUGCCUUUGAUACGGCAAGUCUUGAGUGUGAGAGAGGAUGGUAGAAUUCCUGGUGUAGCGGUGAAAUGCGUAGAUAUCAGGAGGAAUACCGGUGGCAAAGGCGGCCAUCUGGCUCAUUACUGACGCUCAUGCACGAAAGCGUGGGGAGCAAACAGGAUUAGAUACCCGAGUAGUC
RNAcentral lists this ribosomal RNA (457 nucleotides) under uncultured bacterium. Its description in RNAcentral is "partial 16S ribosomal RNA". It matches the Rfam family "Bacterial small subunit ribosomal RNA", at positions 339 to 795 of the family's 1533-position model. The record is from RNAcentral.